AGUACGCGUGGGACGUGCCUCUCUACGGAUACCUCUGGAACGGAGAGUAAUACCGUAUACGCCCUUUGUGGGAACAGAUUUUCGGAGAAGGAUCGGCCCGCGUCAGAUUAGGUAGUUGGUGGGGUAACGGCCUACCAAGCCUACGAUCUAUAGCUGGUUUCAGAGGAAUGAUCGGCAACACCUGGUGAAGCUGAGGACACGGCCCACGACUCCGUACAGGGUAGGCAGCAGUGGGGAAUCUUACACAAUGGGGGCAACCCUAGAUCUAGCCAUGCCAGCGUGAGUGAUGAAGCGCCUUAGGGCUCGUAAAGCUCUUAUCGCCUGUGAUAGAUAAUGACAGUUGCAGGUAAAGAAACCCCGGACUAACUCCUGUGCCAGCAAGCCGCGGUAAUACUGGAUGGGGUUAGCGUUGUUCGGAAUUACUGGGCGUACAGCGCGCGUAGGCGGAUUACAAAGUUGGGGGUGAAAUCCCGGGGCUCAACCCCGGAACUGGCUCCAGGAUUGCUAGUCUAAAGUUCGACAGAGGUGAGUGGAAUUCCGAGUGUAUAAGUGAAAUGCGUAAAUAUUCGGAGGAACAACAGUGGCAAAGGCUGGUCACUCGCUCGAUACUGACGCGUGAGGAUCUAAAAUGUGGGGAGCAACAGGAUAGAUACC
This 654-nucleotide ribosomal RNA is filed under the name uncultured Alphaproteobacteria bacterium. Its description in RNAcentral is "bacterial SSU rRNA". It matches the Rfam family "Bacterial small subunit ribosomal RNA", at positions 109 to 786 of the family's 1533-position model. The record is from RNAcentral. Lineage: Bacteria; Pseudomonadati; Pseudomonadota; Alphaproteobacteria.